ACCUAUCAACAUUUAACCACGAAAACAGAGAAGAACCAACACCAAUCCUCCCUUUUAUAAGAAUCUAUAGUGGAGAAGGGACAAGAAUUCGGCAACACAAAGAAGAGGGAGGAGAAAGGAGAUUCGGUAGAGGGGACUAAAGAACUAUUCGGUCAAAACAAAAUAAGAGAAAAAAAAUAAAAGAGAAAAACAAGAAAACAAAAUAGCAAACCCGAAAGGUACCCAAAAUCUUUAGCAAAAUUCGGCACAAGCAAAAGGUGAAAGAAAAACUGACCAAAGCCGAAGCAAACGGAGAGAAAAACAACCCCAAAACCAAUUCCUUCAAUGCCUAAAGACCAAAUUCGGCACAAGCAUACCCCCAAACGGCACAACUCCCCCUCACUCUCAAAUUCCUUGAUUUCCUCCUAAAAUCUCUCCCCUUAUCCCUCCACCAAUUUCUCCUCAACUCACUCUAUGACCAGUUCAAACUCCUUUCAGCAGUAUUCUAAUCUAACUCCACCACCUACCCAGCUCAAGCAGCAAAAUAAAUACUCCAUUGUGCAACCCAAAACUUGAACCUUAGACCUCACAGGAACACAACACGCC
RNAcentral lists this long non-coding RNA (585 nucleotides) under Gossypium raimondii (Peruvian cotton). RNAcentral's name for it is "long non-coding RNA (GRAI_LNC010104)". The record is from RNAcentral. Lineage: Eukaryota; Viridiplantae; Streptophyta; Magnoliopsida; Malvales; Malvaceae.